Molecule: ribosomal RNA, 745 nt
Filed under: uncultured cyanobacterium
Lineage: Bacteria; Bacillati; Cyanobacteriota
Description: bacterial SSU rRNA
Rfam family: Bacterial small subunit ribosomal RNA
Source: RNAcentral
AGAGUUUGAUCAUGGCUCAGGAUGAACGCUGGCGGUCUGCUUAACACAUGCAAGUCGAACGGGACUCUUCGGAGUUCAGUGGCGGACGGGUGAGUAACGCGUGAGAAUCUGCCUUCAGGUCGGGGACAACCACUGGAAACGGUGGCUAAUACCCGAUGUGCGCAACGUGAAAGAUUUAUCGCCUGAAGAGGAGCUCGCGUCUGAUUAGCUAGUUGGUGGGGUAAAAGCUCACCAAGGCGACGAUCAGUAGCUGGUCUGAGAGGAUGAUCAGCCACACUGGGACUGAGACACGGCCCAGACUCCUACGGGAGGCAGCAGUGGGGAAUUUUCCGCAAUGGGCGAAAGCCUGACGGAGCAAGACCGCGUGAGGGAGGAAGGCUCUUGGGUUGUAAACCUCUUUUCUCAGGGAAGAACAAAAUGACGGUACCUGAGGAAUCAGCCUCGGCUAACUCCGUGCCAGCAGCCGCGGUAAUACGGAGGAGGCAAGCGUUAUCCGGAAUUAUUGGGCGUAAAGCGUCCGCAGGUGGCACUUCAAGUCUGUCGUCAAAGACUGGGGCUUAACCCUGGAAAGGCGGUGGAAACUGAAGCGCUAGAGUGUGGUAGGGGUAGAGGGAAUUCCCGGUGUAGCGGUGAAAUGCGUAGAGAUCGGGAAGAACAUCGGUGGCGAAAGCGCUCUACUGGACCACAACUGACACUCAGGGACGAAAGCUAGGGGAGCGAAUGGGAUUAGAUACCCCAGUAGUCC